Molecule: unclassified non-coding RNA, 309 nt
Filed under: uncultured fungus
Lineage: Eukaryota; Fungi
Description: sequence contains ITS1
Source: RNAcentral
GUAUAUAUUUUUUUGAAUAAUAUUUAACAAGUAAAAUCAACACUAAAUGCGUCAAGAUUACAAUUAAAUAAUACAAUGUCAAACAAUACAAUCGAGUUUAUGUGCUAUUGAAUAUAUUUCACUUCAACAGCUCAGUUGACAAUCUUCAUAGAAAGAUGAAAGAUUUGACUCCCUCACUUUGCUACAAAAAUUGCCAGAGCCAAACAGGCUCCGGGUAAAUAUUACAUUAAGUUCAAGUUUUACCCUGAACCAAUGUCAUAUUAAUAAAUAGAUUUGUCAAUGAUCCUUCCGCAGGUUCACCUACGGAAA